This 253-nucleotide ribosomal RNA is filed under the name uncultured bacterium. RNAcentral's name for it is "partial 16S ribosomal RNA". It matches the Rfam family "Bacterial small subunit ribosomal RNA", at positions 524 to 776 of the family's 1533-position model. The record is from RNAcentral.
UACGUAGGGGGCUAGCGUUGUCCGGAAUCAUUGGGCGUAAAGCGCGCGUAGGCGGCCAGAUAAGUCCGGUGUGAAAGUCACAGGCUCAACCUGUGAAUGCCGCUGGAAACUGUCUGGCUUGAGUCCGGAAGGGGCGAGUGGAAUUCCUGGUGUAGCGGUGAAAUGCGUAGAUAUCUGGAGGAACACCGGUGGCGAAGGCGACAUCCUGGGCCGGUAUUGACGCUGAGGCGCGAAAGCGUGGGGAGCAAACGGG